Molecule: ribosomal RNA, 253 nt
Filed under: uncultured bacterium
Lineage: Bacteria
Description: partial 16S ribosomal RNA
Rfam family: Bacterial small subunit ribosomal RNA
Source: RNAcentral
UACGAAGGGGGCUAGCGUUGUUCGGAAUUACUGGGCGUAAAGGGCGCGUAGGCGGUCCGCUAAGUUCGGCGUGAAAUCCCCUGGCUCAACUGGGGAACGGCGCUGGAUACUGGUGGACUCGAGUACCGGAGAGGAGAGUGGAAUUCCUGGUGUAGCGGUGAAAUGCGUAGAUAUCAGGAGGAACACCGGUGGCGAAGGCGGCUCUCUGGACGGAUACUGACGCUGAGGCGCGAAAGCGUGGGGAUCAAACAGG